Molecule: ribosomal RNA, 253 nt
Filed under: uncultured bacterium
Lineage: Bacteria
Description: partial 16S ribosomal RNA
Rfam family: Bacterial small subunit ribosomal RNA
Source: RNAcentral
UACGAAGGGGGCUAGCGUUGCUCGGAAUCACUGGGCGUAAAGCGCACGUAGGCGGGUCUUUAAGUCAGGGGUGAAAUCCUGGAGCUCAACUCCAGAACUGCCUUUGAUACUGAGGAUCUUGAGUUCGGGAGAGGUGAGUGGAACUGCGAGUGUAGGGGUGAAAUUCGUAGAUAUUCGCAAGAACACCAGUGGCGAAGGCGGCUCACUGGCCCGAUACUGACGCUGAGGCACGAAAGCGUGGGGAGCAAACAGG